Molecule: long non-coding RNA, 2106 nt
Filed under: Heterocephalus glaber (naked mole-rat)
Lineage: Eukaryota; Metazoa; Chordata; Mammalia; Rodentia; Bathyergidae
Description: lncRNA (ENSHGLG00000047451.1)
Source: RNAcentral
ACCUGAGCUGCACCCGGCUGCUCUGCAGAGCCAGUGCCAGGAAGUCUUUGCCGCGGUUGUUCCCAUUGUACAGCAGCAGCCCCUGCGGCUCCAGAGUCCGGAAUUCCAGUGCCAGGCGCAGGGUAUGGUAGGCGCGGAGGGUGGGGAAAGCCAGGAAGGAGUGGCCCCAGAAGGCAGGCACAGGGGGGCGCAGCGCUGCAGGGAGCAGGGAGGCUGGCUACAGGAGGGCACCCCUGUGGCUGCACAGCCCGGUGCCGCCGCCGAGCCUGGACGCUUGUCGCCCGCGCUGCCCACUCACCCUCCUCGCAGACGGUGCCGCCCCGGCCCACUGGGCAGCUGCAGCUGAAGCCUUGGCCAGAGUCUUGGUCUUGGCAGGUGCCCCCGUGGAGGCAGGGCUGGGAGGCACAGGGCCUCGGGGGCUGCUGGAGGCCGGGGGGCAGGGGCCGGUGUCCUGCCGUGCGGCUGGGGGCUGUGGUAGGCGGCCGGUGCGUGGUGGGAGGUGCUGUGGUCCUGCCAGUAGGUCGGCUGGUGUGACUAGGGUGGGCCCGAGGUCCCUCAGGUGGACACUCCGGAAGUCCUUUUUGACAUCCGAGUUUCGGAACAGGUCAUCCAGCUGCCAGUAGGGAAAGGGUGAGAACAUGGGGUGCCGGCCACACCAGCUGCAAGUGGUCCUGGGCAUCAGGGCCUGGGCUGGCACUCAGGCUGCAUCCCACUCACUGAACUCUCGAUGCUCCGGGCAGUCUCCCCAAACAGCUCUGACUUGGGGUCAGCCAUCUCGGGCGUGUAGAACAGCUCCUGUCCCUCGACUCCCUCCAGCUCAAGCACUCCCUGGAAGGCCUUGGUGUCUGUGGGGGAAGGGUGGUGAGGCUCUGCCUGGCACCUCCCUGGCCUCCUGGGCCGGCCAUGGGCACCGGCACCCACGGUGAGCUGCGUGGGGCACAGGGGCAGGUGGGUGUUAGUCAGAUGGUCAUGAGGUUAGUGAGGACCCCGGGCAGGGCUGGCGUCAGUUACCAGGUGGACUCCUCGGAGCAGGUGCCCCAGGUUGGCUUGCAAGGAGAGAGACGGUUAGGCAAGGGUCUCGGCAUGCACGUGUGUUUGGGGGCUUAGACCACACGUGUGCUUGUGUGCUGAAUCCUCACACGCAUGUGCUAAUGCCACCAGACCACAAACCCAGUACCGACCUGCUGCAGAGGGUGGGCACAGCACCGGGUGUGUCCAGGCUGCUCUCCAAGCUUCAUCCUACUCCCACCACCCACUUACCAGGGCAGUUGGAGCCCUCGGUGUCCAGCGAGGGUGUCUUGCCAUCUGAACAGCAGCCCAAAGGGGAGUUGUAGCAGGAAGCCCUCUCAAUGGGUGGCCCAGGGGUCACCAUGCUGAUCCCCGUGGGGAGUUCAAGUCCUGAGGAGCCUCCCCCACUGGCCUCCUGGUCUCCACUGAGCUCCUCGUCACCGCUCCCAGCAGUGCUGCCAGAUUCGCCGGAGGCCGGCAGGGCAAGGCUGGUGCCAGUGGAGGCUGCGGUGAGGGCCGUGGUUGGCACAGGCCAUACGGUGGGCCUGGGCAUGCUGGCUGUGGUCCGAGGUCGUGAUGUGGGUGAAGGGGUGGGCUGGCUGCUGGGGAUGCCGCUGGGUACCAGGGGCGGUGCGCUGGGGGUGGGCAGCAGCGCCUCACUCCGGACAGGCUCCAGGGUGGUCGCAGAUGCAGACGUGGGGUGUGUGCCAAGAGCAUCGGCAUCUGCAAGGAGAGAGCUUUCAGUCAGGGCAGGCAGAGGCUCCCGGUCAUUCUGGGCAGAGGCUCCCAGGCUGUACCUUGGCACGGGCCGAAACUCUGCGUAGAGAUGUCCAAGCCCUGGCGGCAGGCAAUGGUCUUCAGCUGGCACUCGUUGCCGUAUGUGAUGCCAUCGGACCCACAGACCUGGGUCACAGGACGGGAAUGCUCAGGCAAGUCCUCCCCACCCAACUGCCCUCCACAUGCUCUUACCCUCACCUUGGUGGCAUUGGCCUCUGGGCACGUGAGGGCUGGGCAGACACAGUGGGCAGAACCAGCUUCCUCCACACAGGAGGCUCCAAACUCACAGUGCACCUCCGCGCAGGUCCUGGGCACCGAGGA